GGUAUGCACAGACUUCGAGAAGCCUUCCAAAAUGUUGUGGGGGACUGAAGGCAUUCAACAUUUUGAAAUCACUACUGAUAUUAGCAGUUUAGCAAAACUACUUUCUUACGAUGGGCCAUGGGCGUAAAUAGGAUUGGCUGUGAAUUACGUGCAGUUUCUCUGCAAAGUUCCAGGUCUAUGCUGUCUCGACCACGUGGUCUACACCGACAGAGAGCUUUUGCCAGCACUGGGACUGUUUGAAUAUCUCAUUAAAGGAGAAGAGAGAGAGCAACAAGGGCACGCGGGCCUCUCACUGUUGUGGCCUCUCCCGUUGCGGAGCACAGGCUCUGGACGCGCAGGCUCAGUGGCCAUGGCCCACAGGCCCAGCCGCUCCGCGGUAUGUGGGAUCUUCCCAGACUGGGGCACGAACCCGUGUCCCCUGCAUCGGCAGGCGGACUCUCAACCACUGCGCCACCAGGGAAGCCCCCCUUCAUCCAUUUUAAUAGAAGUUUCAGUAGGACAUGUGUCUGCCCCAAAUGAUGACUGCUUUACUCAGCUUCCCUUGCAGCUAGGAGUGGCCACUUCACUAAAUUCUGGACAAUAAGAUGGAAGAAGUAUCCAGUGACAGUUUCUGGGAAUGUUUCUCAGGAAACAAUUGGCAGGUGACCCUUGCUUAGUCCUUUUUCUCCAUUCUGCUGCCCACAAUAGGAAUGCUGUCAUCUUGGACUAUGGGGUAAGUUCUACACUGAGAAAACAGAGGCAUGAGCUGGAAGGGCUCUGGAUCCCUGAGGACCAGUGGAGCUGACCUCCCAUAUCAGAUCUGGACUGCACAUGUGAGAGAAAUAAACUCAUCUGUCAUCUUAUUUAAACCACCCAUACAUUGAGUUUCUCUGUUACUUAUAGCUGAAUCUAAUACUAAUGGACACAGAUUUUAGAGACAAAUUUUCAACCAGCAUCAGGCUGUAACUACACAUAUUUUAAGUCACUUUAUUGGCUUCUCUUUGUCCCAUCUUUGAUUUUCUAUCUUCUUUUGCCAAACUUUAAUUUAAUUUAAAUGGAAUUUAAUGUUAUGUUCUCUAUACUUUUAUAGGCUUCCUAAAAUCCAUUUUGAAACAAGACCAGGUAUAAACUAAUGAAUAAUAAUCAAACUCAGAUA
Long non-coding RNA from Globicephala melas (long-finned pilot whale), 1135 nucleotides. RefSeq lists it as uncharacterized. Lineage: Eukaryota; Metazoa; Chordata; Mammalia; Artiodactyla; Delphinidae. The record is from RefSeq and is a predicted model, not a curated record.